AAAAAAAACAAACCUAAGUUUUCGUGUUCAACGUUUGACCGUUCGUCUUAUUUAAAAAAAUUAUAAAAAAAAUUAAAAAGAUAAGUCACACAUAAAGUAUUAAUCAUGUUUUAUCAUCUAACAACAAUAAAAAUACUAAUUAUAAAAAAAUUUCAUGUAAAAUGGACAGUCAAACGUUGGACACGGAAACCAGGGUUUAUCUUUUU
This is a non-coding RNA of Oryza meridionalis, 206 nucleotides long. The record is from Rfam. Lineage: Eukaryota; Viridiplantae; Streptophyta; Magnoliopsida; Poales; Poaceae.